CCUACGGGUGGCAGCAGUGAGGAAUAUUGGUCAAUGGCCGGAAGGCUGAACCAGCCAAGCCGCGUGAGGGAGGAAGGCGCAGAGAGUCGCAGACCUCUUUUGCCGGAGGACAAAAGGCCGGACUCGUACGGUCCUGAGGGUACCCGGCGAAAAAGCAUCGGCUAACUCCGUGCCAGCAGCCGCGGUAAUACGGAGGAUUCAAGCGUUAUCCGGAUUCAUUGGGUUUAAAGGGUGCGCAGGCGGGCCUUUAAGUUGGCGGUGAAAUCCCGGGGCUCAACCCCGCCGAGCCUUCGAAACUGGCGGGCUUGAGUUCAGCUGAGGCAGGCGGAAUGUACGGUGUAGCGGUGAAAUGCAUAGAGAUCGUACAGAACCCCGAUUGCGAAGGCAGCGUACCGAGCUGCGACUGACGCUGAGGCACGAAAGCGCGGGGAGCGAACAGGAUUAGAUACCCCGGUAGUC
This 459-nucleotide ribosomal RNA is filed under the name uncultured bacterium. RNAcentral's name for it is "partial 16S ribosomal RNA". It matches the Rfam family "Bacterial small subunit ribosomal RNA", at positions 338 to 795 of the family's 1533-position model. The record is from RNAcentral.